GACGAACGCUGGCGGCGUGCUUAACACAUGCAAGUCGAACGGAAAGGCCCUGCUUUUGUGGGGUGCUCGAGUGGCGAACGGGUGAGUAACACGUGAGUAACCUGCCCUUGACUUUGGGAUAACUUCAGGAAACUGGGGCUAAUACCGGAUAGGAGCUCCUGCUGCAUGGUGGGGGUUGGAAAGUUUCGGCGGUUGGGGAUGGACUCGCGGCUUAUCAGCUUGUUGGUGGGGUAGUGGCUUACCAAGGCUUUGACGGGUAGCCGGCCUGAGAGGGUGACCGGCCACAUUGGGACUGAGAUACGGCCCAGACUCCUCCGGGAGGCAGCAGUGGGGAAUAUUGCACAAUGGGCUGAAGCCUGAUGCAGCACCGCCGCGUGCGGGAUGACGGCCUUCGGUUUGUAAACCGCUUCCGCCUGUGACGAAGCGUGAGUGACGGUAAUGGGUAAAGAAGCACCGGCUAACUACGUG
RNAcentral lists this ribosomal RNA (468 nucleotides) under uncultured bacterium. RNAcentral describes it as "partial 16S ribosomal RNA". It matches the Rfam family "Bacterial small subunit ribosomal RNA", at positions 28 to 507 of the family's 1533-position model. The record is from RNAcentral.